UGCAUCUAGAUUGCGGAUCCGCGCCCGCAGAGUUUGAUCAUGGCUCAGAUUGAACGCUGGCGGCAUGCCUUACACAUGCAAGUCGAACGGUAACAGGUCUUUCGGGAUGCUGACGAGUGGCGAACGGGUGAGUAAUACAUCGGAACGUGCCUAGUAGUGGGGGAUAACUACUCGAAAGAGUGGCUAAUACCGCAUGAGAUCUAUGGAUGAAAGCAGGGGACCUUCGGGCCUUGCGCUACUAGAGCGGCCGAUGGCAGAUUAGGUAGUUGGUGGGAUAAAAGCUUACCAAGCCUACGAUCUGUAGCUGGUCUGAGAGGACGAUCAGCCACACUGGGACUGAGACACGGCCCAGACUCCUACGGGAGGCAGCAGUGGGGAAUUUUGGACAAUGGGCGCAAGCCUGAUCCAGCAAUGCCGCGUGCAGGAUGAAGGCCUUCGGGUUGUAAACUGCUUUUGUACGGAACGAAAAGUCUUGGGUUAAUACCCUGGGAUCAUGACGGUACCGUAAGAAUAAGCACCGGCUAACUACGUGCCAGCAGCCGCGGUAAUACGUAGGGUGCAAGCGUUAAUCGGAAUUACUGGGCGUAAAGCGUGCGCAGGCGGUUUUGUAAGACAGUGGUGAAAUCCCCGGGCUCAACCUGGGAACUGCCAUUGUGACUGCAAGGCUGGAGUGCGGCAGAGGGGGAUGGAAUUCCGCGUGUAGCAGUGAAAUGCGUAGAUAUGCGGAGGAACACCGAUGGCGAAGCAGCCCCCUGGGAUAAUACUGACGCUCAUGCACGAAAGCGUGGGGAGCAAACAGG
RNAcentral lists this ribosomal RNA (800 nucleotides) under uncultured beta proteobacterium. Its description in RNAcentral is "bacterial SSU rRNA". It matches the Rfam family "Bacterial small subunit ribosomal RNA", at positions 1 to 776 of the family's 1533-position model. Lineage: Bacteria; Pseudomonadati; Pseudomonadota; Betaproteobacteria. The record is from RNAcentral.